ACAGCAGUAGCCGCGGUAAUACGUAGGGUGCGAGCGUUAAUCGGAAUUACUGGGCGUAAAGCGUGCGCAGGCGGUUAUAUAAGACAGAUGUGAAAUCCCCGGGCUCAACCUGGGACCUGCAUUUGUGACUGUAUAGCUAGAGUACGGUAGAGGGGGAUGGGAUUCCGCGUGUAGCAGUGAAAUGCGUAGAUAUGCGGAGGAACACCGAUGGCGAAGGCAAUCCCCUGGACCUGUACUGACGCUCAUGCACGAAAGCGUGGGGAGCAAACAGGAUUAGAUACCCCAGUAGUCCCUGUCUCUUAUAC
RNAcentral lists this ribosomal RNA (305 nucleotides) under uncultured bacterium. RNAcentral's name for it is "partial 16S ribosomal RNA". It matches the Rfam family "Bacterial small subunit ribosomal RNA", at positions 506 to 807 of the family's 1533-position model. The record is from RNAcentral.